CCAGCCACGAACGACUUUACUUCAAACUUCUUCCAGACUUCGUCAAUGUCCGAGCUUCUCCAAUAGUAGGACUUCUAUAGUAAUCAGACUCCAUCCAAGUUUCUAUGAUGGUCGACCGUCUUUCAAAUUUCAUUUGAGCUCCAACAAGAGCUGGAUCCCAGUCGAACUUCUACAGCGGAUAGAUUCUAGACGAACUCCUACAACAGAUGGGCUCCACCAAUCGGAUCUCUACU
RNAcentral lists this long non-coding RNA (233 nucleotides) under Elaeis guineensis (African oil palm). RNAcentral describes it as "long non-coding RNA (EGUI_LNC047822)". Lineage: Eukaryota; Viridiplantae; Streptophyta; Magnoliopsida; Arecales; Arecaceae. The record is from RNAcentral.